CUUGAUAAAUACAGUUCUUGCUUGUUUUGCCAGCGGUCACCCGGUAGACAUUUAAAAAACACCCAGAAAUACAAUCCCUGAACUUCUUGAGAUCCCCGAAGUUAAACCUUUGGAAAGCUUUCGAAGACCCUGAAAUGAGAAUAUUUUGUUUUAAAUCAAGAAUGAGGAAAAGAGAAGAGAGUUGCUCUGUGAGUUUAGAGGUAAUGGAAUUGCUACAAGAGUGCUCACCACAGAAAAAUGCUUGGCUAAGGCAAGAAGUAAGCUGAAGCAGGAGACUCGCCCAAGGGUCUCCUAACCCUGGAGCGGUGGAAGCUAGAUGGGCACAGAACCAGAAACUAGAAAGCAAUGGCAGAACAGAUGAUCCGGACACUAUGGAUCGUCCUUCUCGAUGGCACUACCUCCGUGGGUUUACAGAGAACAGGAUGCACAGAGCUGCAGUGCAAUGGAGAAACCAUUUUUAGCACCUAAGUACAGUACCUGGCACAUAACUCUGAGCAUACUGAGGAGCAAGGACCCCAUCGGACCUGAUUAUCUUGCAGCUACCCCAGCACUUAAUACAGUGCCUGGCCCAUAGUAAGUGCUUAACAAACACUGCAAUUAUUUUUAUCUGGUCGAAUGCCUUAAAACUAAUCGCCAGGCGUUUCUGCUUGACGCAGAGAGAAACAGGCUACCUUUGGAGAGCAAAGUGGGGAGACAGGUGUGGAAUAAGGGUGGAGGCUACGAUAUCUGGGCGGAAGGAGGAAACGGUAAUUUCCUCUAGAAAUGGCUGAGGAGGAGGAGAGAAUGUAUGUGGGAGAGGGAAAGAUCUGCAGGGCUCACCCUGAUGACUUUGAUUUUUUCAUCAAAAGUUGGCAGGGUCAUUAGGGGUGUGUGUGGUCAUUCAUUCAUUCAAUCAUAUUAACUGAGCAUUUACU
Molecule: long non-coding RNA, 914 nt
Organism: Ornithorhynchus anatinus (platypus)
Lineage: Eukaryota; Metazoa; Chordata; Mammalia; Monotremata; Ornithorhynchidae
Exons: 4
Source: RefSeq, a predicted model, not a curated record